Transfer RNA from Kibdelosporangium aridum, 84 nucleotides. It matches the Rfam family "tRNA". Rfam says of the family: Transfer RNA (tRNA) molecules are approximately 80 nucleotides in length. Their secondary structure includes four short double-helical elements and three loops (D, anti-codon, and T loops). Further hydrogen bonds mediate the characteristic L-shaped molecular structure. tRNAs have two regions of fundamental functional importance: the anti-codon, which is responsible for specific mRNA codon recognition, and the 3' end, to which the tRNAs corresponding amino acid is attached (by aminoacyl-tRNA synthetases). tRNAs cope with the degeneracy of the genetic code in two manners: having more than one tRNA (with a specific anti-codon) for a particular amino acid; and 'wobble' base-pairing, i.e. permitting non-standard base-pairing at the 3rd anti-codon position. NCBI's taxonomy places the organism in Bacteria, Bacillati, Actinomycetota, Actinomycetes, Pseudonocardiales, Pseudonocardiaceae. The record is from Rfam.
GCCCCUGUGGCGGAAAUGGCAGACGCACGCGACUCAAACUCGCGGGCCCGCUAGGGCGUGCAGGUUCAAGUCCUGCCAGGGGUA